Molecule: ribosomal RNA, 449 nt
Filed under: uncultured bacterium
Lineage: Bacteria
Description: partial 16S ribosomal RNA
Rfam family: Bacterial small subunit ribosomal RNA
Source: RNAcentral
AGCGAACGCUGGCGGCAGGCCUAACACAUGCAAGUCGAACGAAGCCUUCGGGCUUAGUGGCGGACGGGUGAGUAACACGUGGGAACGUACCUUUUGGUUCGGAACAACUCAGGGAAACUUGAGCUAAUACCGGAUGAGCCCUUAGGGGGAAAGAUUUAUCGCCGAAAGAGCGGCCCGCGUUAGAUUAGCUAGUUGGUGAGGUAAAGGCUCACCAAGGCAACGAUCUAUAGCUGGUCUGAGAGGAUGAUCAGCCACACUGGGACUGAGACACGGCCCAGACUCCUACGGGAGGCAGCAGUGGGGAAUCUUGCGCAGUGGGCGAAAGCCUGACGCAGCCAUGCCGCGUGAAUGAUGAAGGUCUUAGGAUUGUAAAAUUCUUUUACCAGGGACGAUAAUGACGGUACCUGGAGAAAAAGCCCCGGCUAACUUCGUGCCAGCAGCCGCCGUAA